UGUAUGCAUGUGUAUGUGUGUGUACAGUAUGUCUGUCUGAGGGUGUGUGUGUGACUGACUAACUCCUGUAGGGCUGCUAUGUUUGCUGGUUUUUGUUUCAACAAUCUACCCCACAUAGAUUAGUCAAUUACAGUCAUGGUUCCAGUAAGGUACUUCACUACUUCAGACAAAACUUCAGCCAGUUACAAGCUGCACAAAUACUAGUACUAAAACACACAUUUGAUGUUUGUAACUCAUUUGUCUGCUGUCCUCUGUAACUUUGUGUUUUAUGUCAGGUCCCCCUCGCAAAACAUGAUUUCCAUAUCAAUGGGAUUUUUCUGUUUAAAUGCAGGUUAAAUAAAUAGAAAAUAAAUAAACAGGAGGCUUGCAAGAGGCUUACAGGUGGUAUACUGGAAAAGUACGAGGACUCAUCACUUUCUACUUGUUCAUGAACUGUUUUCUCAUUGUGUUUUGGGGCUGUGCUAAUUUCACUUUGGAUGAAGUUCAAGGAAGGAACCAAAGUUUCAUUUUCACGCAGGUGACACCCGAUGGCACUUAUCUCUCUGAUAUAUAAGCAUCAAACACAAGCACAACCCACAGCAGCAGCAGCAGCAGCAGCAGCAGCAGCAGCAGCAGCAGCAAGCAGGAGCAGCAGUAGCAGCAAACAGGAGCAGCAGUCAUGCAUCAAUUCUUCUCAAGGAAAACACUUGACAAUCUUAUGAAAACACCAGGAGGGGCUAUGGUCAUAGUUAUAUUAUUCAUCAUGUUCCAGUACAUUUUCAAACUGGAUUUUGUAUGUCCCUGUGACCUUCGCUAUAACAUACCUUUCUGUUUACUUUAUGUGGUUCUACCGUUCAGCUUCGUGACUCUGACUGUGAUGCUGAUAGACCCUCACUGUACGUGGGAAUGCAAACUAAAUGAAUGCAGGAUAUGGGCACACUGCUCCUCAAUAGUCAAAAGUCUACUCCUAGGCUCGGUGUGGGUAAUUACUGCAUUGAUUGAUGGAGAGAUAUCAGUGUGUUUUUUCGCCAAUAACGUGACAACUGGGCAGCAGGAUGCAUGCAUAGAGGUGACCAGCCGGAGCCCUGAACAGCAAAGGACCAUCAACUUCUAUGUGAACGUAUCUCGGAUAUUAGGCCUCGGUGUCAUAUUGAUUAUGUCACUCCUAUAUGCUGCCUAUAAUGCCUGUUGCAGGAAAACAUACCAGGAAUCUCUGUGCAAAAAGUACAAAGAUAAAUACAUAAAGACCUUACUGAAAGAGGAACAACGUAAACGGGGAAAAGAAGAGGCUGACGAACUAAUUUCAAAUAGGAAGAACUCCUCAACGCUCCCACCCGAGGCAAUCUGCCUCACAUCCUGCUGCUCAAAAUGAAGUUCCAAAUGUACGCACACCUUUACUGCAAGGCUGCGAAAAACUAAACUACCCCUCUGGAUCCCAGGGAACUCAGAGCUCAUUUUAAAUUACAGAAAGUAAAAAUUUUACUGAAAAGAAAUGCCUUCAUUUAAAAAAUUAAUUAUUUUUUUUAAUCACUGAAAAAUUAUAUUAGGAAAAGUCAUUAAAUAUGAAGCAAAAAAAUGAUGUCAAUCAUUUAUUUAGAGACGUUAAACAUUGAAUGGGGUCAAAUUGACCCCAAAGAUAAUAGGAGGGUUAAAAAAAAAAAAAAAUUAAUAGCAAUCGUAGCAACAGUAACCAAUAGUUCAAGUUUAAAAAAAAAUCAACUGGAGGUUUCCAGCUGCCAGGAACAGCCUGCAGGUGAAAUACUGUACAUUGAUUGGCUGGAGCAUUGAUAGGCUGGAGCUGGAGCAUGGAUAGGCUGGAGCUGGAGCAUUGAUAGGCUGGAGCUGGAGCACUGAUAGGCUGGAGCUGGAGCAGUGAUAGGCUGCUGUAUGUAAUGUAACAGUGUAACAAAACUGCAAUGAUUGAUGACAUAACGGCAAGCAAAUAUAUUUGCUGUGAAGUAAGGUUUGGUAAAGUUUGGUAAGGUUUGGUAAAGUUUGGUAAAGUUUGGUAAGGCUUAGUUAGGUUUGGCAAGGCUUGUUAAGGUUUGGUACGAUUUGGUAUUACAACUGAGCUCUGAGCACCACUGUGAGCCAUAGAAGCAGUACUGCAUCACAUUUCAAUUGUAUUACUAAACAAUAAGGUUGUAAAUGUAGCGCUUUUUCUUAUUAUUGUUUAAAACUGCACCUUUUAAGCACUGUAUAUGAACCAGAAUAUAAAGUAGAAUGUAAGCAUAAUAUCCAUGUGCAAUUUCUCUCUGAAGCGCUUUUGCUGUCGCCUUCGUCUACCAAAAUGUAUACAAUUUGCUUAUUUACUUCAUCAGUGAAUUUGUCUCUUGAUUUUGCUAAAUAAAAUAAACACUUUGAUUCAUA
Long non-coding RNA from Anguilla anguilla (European eel), 2349 nucleotides. RefSeq lists it as uncharacterized. The transcript has 2 exons. The record is from RefSeq and is a predicted model, not a curated record. Lineage: Eukaryota; Metazoa; Chordata; Actinopteri; Anguilliformes; Anguillidae.